RNAcentral lists this transfer RNA (77 nucleotides) under Mollicutes bacterium. Its description in RNAcentral is "tRNA-Met". It matches the Rfam family "tRNA". Rfam says of the family: Transfer RNA (tRNA) molecules are approximately 80 nucleotides in length. Their secondary structure includes four short double-helical elements and three loops (D, anti-codon, and T loops). Further hydrogen bonds mediate the characteristic L-shaped molecular structure. tRNAs have two regions of fundamental functional importance: the anti-codon, which is responsible for specific mRNA codon recognition, and the 3' end, to which the tRNAs corresponding amino acid is attached (by aminoacyl-tRNA synthetases). tRNAs cope with the degeneracy of the genetic code in two manners: having more than one tRNA (with a specific anti-codon) for a particular amino acid; and 'wobble' base-pairing, i.e. permitting non-standard base-pairing at the 3rd anti-codon position. Lineage: Bacteria; Bacillati; Mycoplasmatota; Mollicutes. The record is from RNAcentral. RNAcentral also lists the same sequence under 2 other names.
GGCGCUGUAGCUCAGUUGGCUAGAGCAAUCGGUUCAUACCCGAUAGGUCGUGAGUUCGAAUCUCUCCGGCGCUACCA